RNAcentral lists this ribosomal RNA (449 nucleotides) under uncultured bacterium. RNAcentral's name for it is "partial 16S ribosomal RNA". It matches the Rfam family "Bacterial small subunit ribosomal RNA", at positions 29 to 523 of the family's 1533-position model. The record is from RNAcentral.
AACGAACGCUGGCGGCAUGCCUAACACAUGCAAGUCGAACGAUAUCUUCGGGUCUAGUGGCGCACGGGUGCGUUACGCGUGGGAAUAUGCCCUUUGGUUCGGAUUAACAGUUGGAAACGACUGCUAAUACCGGAUGAUGACGAAAGUCCAAAGAUUUAUCGCUAGAGGAUGAGCCCGCGUGGGGUUAGCUAGUUGGUGUGGUAAAGGCGCACCAAGGGGACGAUACUUAGCUGGUCUGAGAGGAUGAUCAGCCACACUGGGACUGAGACACGGCCCAGACUCCUACGGGAGGCAGCAGUGGGGAAUAUUGGACAAUGGGCGAAAGCCUGAUCCAGCAAUGCCGCGUGAGUGAUGAAGGCCUUAGGGUUGUAAAGCUCUUUUACCCGGGAUGAUAAUGACAGUACCGGGAGAAUAAGCUCCGGCUAACUCCGUGCCAGCCGCCGCUGUAA